UUUGAUUUUCAAUUCUUUCCCCCCCUGUAUUCAUCACAUCAGUCUUCAAUCUAUCUAUAAUAACACACUCCUGGAAAUUCCCAUUGAUAAAAUUUGGACUUAAUGUCACCUAAUUGAACUUCCUGUACUUGAAUUCACCUGGUUUAUCCUUUGCUCCUAUCAUCAGACACACGAUGCUCUCUCUCCCUUUUGGUUUCAGAUGCGCCAUGUGGUUUUGUCGCAAGCAUCGUCAGAAGCAAGGAUCACUGAGUGGAUAUUUUGCAUUUCAGUAUUCUGGGGCAAGUAGGGUGGUGGAGGUGAAUAUCAAUGGUGGUGAGAGCGACUCGCAAGAUGUGUGGGGAAUCUGCAUUUACUGGUCGUCCUUGAUCUGGUCUGAAAUGGGUGUUCAUUCAUCAGAGAGAAUAAAUUAACUCAAACCGAGUUUAUGGAUAUGAAUUAGGUGUCUGCUCUGUUCUACCUUAUUGUUAAUGGAUAAUCUGAAGAUUCUGAUCUGAUUAGACUGAACUUGAGUUGGACUGGGUUGGGUUAUUACAUUUUUGUUGCUGUUAUAAAAAUAGUA
Lotus japonicus is the source of this 559-nucleotide long non-coding RNA. RefSeq lists it as uncharacterized. The transcript has 3 exons. The record is from RefSeq and is a predicted model, not a curated record. Lineage: Eukaryota; Viridiplantae; Streptophyta; Magnoliopsida; Fabales; Fabaceae.